AAUAGGAGCACCAGAACCGAGCCGAGGUCCUUCUCUGUCUCCAACUCUCACACUGGUGGGGAGGGUUUCUUUCUUUCCCUUUUUUUUCCAGGGGAACACAUGUCUCCAGCUACUUUUUUGACGCACAGUCCUCAGCCAAUGGGAGCGAGAGGGCCACUGACAGCAUCCCCAUCCCACCGCAGAGAGGGCGCACCGAUGAUAUGGAUGAUGAGAGGGGGAGUUUAAAGCAAGAAAAAGAUUUCGAUCGAUGAAGGCCCUGGAAGGAUCAUAAAAGUGGAUUUUCCUCAUCACCGGGAAGAGUCCUGAUGUCAGCAGAGAGAAGAAAAGUUUGGGAAUCUUUGGAGGAAAAUGAGAUCUGCAGGAGUUUGCCAACAAACAAACGGAUGCAAUUAAACACACGUCUGAUCGUCUGCAAGGAGUCAAGGUCAAGAAGGGCAGCGAGCUGACGAGGAGAGGGAGACACCUGGAUCGUUUUUCUGCAACCAAACACAAUUUCAUCAGUUUUAAUGGACAAACAGUGAAAAAUCAACCAGAAUGAAUGUGUCUGCCGCAUCUCUGUUCACCCUGACAUCAUAGAACCAUUUUUGAUCACAUGGUUGUCAGAUUUGCCUUUGUCAGCAGCCUUCUCCUGUGUGCUGAGGUGUCUGCACGGCAUGGUAAAAGCUGCCCUGCAGACCGGACCUCUCAAGUCUUCAAAGUAGGACGAACUCACUGUGGGGGGAUUUGUUCAGGCUUAUUUGGUAACCUGGGAUUUGAAUUGGAUUCUUGGAAGCAUUCAUAACACAUUUGAAAAUGUUGCUUUGUGUGAUUUUCUGUGUAAUCCCCAUAAUAAAUUUUAGAAAUGGUCA
This is a long non-coding RNA of Nothobranchius furzeri (turquoise killifish), 848 nucleotides long. RefSeq lists it as uncharacterized. Lineage: Eukaryota; Metazoa; Chordata; Actinopteri; Cyprinodontiformes; Nothobranchiidae. The record is from RefSeq and is a predicted model, not a curated record.